This 506-nucleotide ribosomal RNA is filed under the name uncultured bacterium. RNAcentral describes it as "bacterial SSU rRNA". It matches the Rfam family "Bacterial small subunit ribosomal RNA", at positions 28 to 536 of the family's 1533-position model. The record is from RNAcentral.
GACGAACGCUGGCGGCGUGCCUAACACAUGCAAGUCGAGCGGAGUCGAUCGACGGAAGCCUUCGGGCGGAAGAUGGUUGACUUAGCGGCGGAUGGGUGAGUAACGCGUGGGCAACCUGCCUCGAAGACCGGGAUAACAGCCCGAAAGGGCUGCUAAUACCGGAUGUGGUCAAAGAUCCGCAUGGAUUUUUGAUUAAAGGGGAAACCCGUUUCGAGAUGGGCCCGCGUCCUAUCAGCUAGUUGGUGAGGUAAAAGCUCACCAAGGCGACGACGGGUAGCCGGCCUGAGAGGGUGACCGGCCACACUGGAACUGAGACACGGUCCAGACUCCUACGGGGGGCAGCAGUGGGGAAUCUUCCACAAUGGGCGAAAGCCUGAUGGAGCGACGCCGCGUGAGCGAAGAAGGCCUCGGUUGUAAGCUCUGUCUGGAGGGACGAAGGAAGUGACGGUACCUCCGGAGGAAGCCACGGCUAACUACGUGCCAGCAGCCGCGGUAUGAGUAGUACA